This 237-nucleotide long non-coding RNA is filed under the name Ananas comosus (pineapple). Its description in RNAcentral is "long non-coding RNA (ACOM_LNC038560)". Lineage: Eukaryota; Viridiplantae; Streptophyta; Magnoliopsida; Poales; Bromeliaceae. The record is from RNAcentral.
GCAGCAAUGUUGAAGGCGAGACCCCUUGGUCGCGACAAAAAUUAGGUUCGCAAAAGGCGAGGAAAGAGAGAGAAAGAAGGUAGUUUUUUGUAAAGACAAAUUUGUAAGAGCAAAAUAGUCAUUUUUACGCACCACUGGAAAAAACUAAUGGUGAAUCAAACGAUAGGGGGCAUAUGAAUGAAACAGAAUUUUUGGAGGGAUAUAUUUGCAAACCAGAGAACUUUGGAAGGGACAAAU